CGCCGCUGCGGCCGGGCCGCAGGUGAAAUCCCGGGAGGCGGGAGCGCGGCGGCGGCGGCGCGCUCUGGGCCGCGCGUCCGGAUCCGUGACGCGAGCUGCGCCACCGCCUAAAGCACGAGCGGUGGCGGAUGGCAGCACAGCUCCCUUCGCGCCACGGCUUGGUGCCGGCCCUGGGUAAAAGCGGGGUGGGUGAGAUAAAGCGCAAGCUGUGUUCGGCGAUGGAAAACGCGAGAGAAAGCGACCUCUGCUAAUCAGGCUUCGCGUUCUGCCCUGCUGCGGCCGGCCGCGCGCAGCCUGGACGCUGCGCCGCGGACCCGUCGGCCGUGGUAGCCACGGCGCUCUUGGGUUGACAGCGAAACCUGCGAUAAAACAGUCGCUUCCAGGCAGAAGAUUGGCACUGGUGAGGCUGGUUGUGCUUUCUUGGGACAUCCUUCUCUACCCUUUGAAGUCCGCAGAAGUGUUCCCGCUGAUUUCAAUGGAAAAAACUUCCUCUUCCGCCUAGUGUGCUAGCUGGUGUGCCAAUUAGUGUUUCGUAUUGAUUGGAAGUGAAGAAGGGGGAUUAGGCACUGAUUGUGGCUGCUUGUAGAUGAGGGCAUCUUACACAGUCUGUGCGAUUUACAAAUCAAUAAUUUGGUAGCCUUUUUUUUUAACUGAUCCAGUCAGCAUCUUAGCUAAAAAUAAACUGUAAAAGACAUCAGUGUUUUUUUGCAAGAUGAUAAUUAUGAAUAAAAAUCUUGCUCUGCGAGACCAGCAGUUAUUCUUGUGAAAACAAAUACGGCCUGCAGAGCAACAGAAUAUUAACUGAAAGCAAGACAUUGAAAUCAAAUUGCCAGUGUAGGCUUUCUUGACAGCAUCCCUCAGAGUGUAGAUGACCACCUGAAGUGCCAGUCCUCACAUAAGGCUGGCCUCGCAGCAACCAGAGCCCAUCUCAGACAUGCAGGGAAUCACUUUCCAAAACAGUUUUCCUGCCAACAGGGUUUGUUUGCUCAGUGAUGAGAAACAAUGGUCAACUCAGUUUGUUCCUUGAGCAUUUUAGUGAUUGAGAAGUGGCAUCUGGCACUGUGCUAAAUCCAUUUUCUUAGGCAGCCAAAUGCCAACUUGGCAGCCUAUCUAGAAGGCUGAUAGCACUGAGACACAGGUGAUCUGGAGAAAUUGUUUUCAGCAGUCUCUGGAAAGAGCCAUUUAUAUAAUGAUUUCACUAUGGAACUGACUUCAGGCCUGACUGCUGUUUGUCACCAUUCAGGAAAUUCAUCGCUGGCUCCAGAGGAACACUUAGUCCCUGCUGAGAGCCUGGAAGAGGGGGAGAGAAUCGAUAUCAGAGCUGCAGCUAUUAAGACCAACAGACAAAAUGUUUUAUUCAAACUCAAUUUCCCUUCUCAUACACCUUUUACAUUAAAAUUCUCUUUUUAAGAGAAUUUGAAU
Molecule: long non-coding RNA, 1422 nt
Organism: Rhea pennata
Lineage: Eukaryota; Metazoa; Chordata; Aves; Rheiformes; Rheidae
Exons: 3
Source: RefSeq, a predicted model, not a curated record